CUUUGGUGCCAAAUGGCAUAAACGGGAAUCUGGUGUAAAUCCAGAACUGGCGCGCAGCGGUAACGAGGAACGAUACGACAUGGGGUAACCCAGGCACUGCUCAAUAGAGUGGGAAGCCGUCGUUUAGGUGAGCAAUAGCUCGAGCCUCCAAGUCCGAAAACCUGCCAAAGAG
This 172-nucleotide non-coding RNA is filed under the name Candidatus Oceanisphaera merdipullorum. The record is from RNAcentral. Lineage: Bacteria; Pseudomonadati; Pseudomonadota; Gammaproteobacteria; Aeromonadales; Aeromonadaceae.